Molecule: non-coding RNA, 406 nt
Organism: Cinara cedri
Lineage: Eukaryota; Metazoa; Arthropoda; Insecta; Hemiptera; Aphididae
Source: the annotation of a GenBank genome assembly
AAGUGAAUAUAUUAUGUAACGUGUGUAAAAUAAAAACAAACAUUUUAGGGAUGUCAAAAAAAUAAAAAUACCACCCGUGAGCAGAAAAUCUAAAUUCGUCUAUGGUUAGGCCAAUGUUGCAUAUGGGUAGUUGAUAAUGAAUAGAAUCCAUAGUUUAUACAUACUGCAUGCAACGAUAAUACAAUAUUGUAAAGGAAAAACGAUUCUGAGCGGAGUAAUAUUAGUAGUGUUUUCCUUUGUUGCUUAGGUAACAUAGCAAUCAACAAAAAUCAAACAACAACGAAACUACCUAUAGAGGUGAACUGUUUAAAAUGUCGGUAAAAUAUGUUUCAGUAACGCCAUGCGAAAAAAGUGCAUAUUUUAUUAAAGUACGACGCGAAAAAAUCCAGAGCAUUCUUAUAGUUAA